RNAcentral lists this non-coding RNA (160 nucleotides) under uncultured Bacteroides sp. Lineage: Bacteria; Pseudomonadati; Bacteroidota; Bacteroidia; Bacteroidales; Bacteroidaceae. The record is from RNAcentral.
ACGGACAACGAUUAAUAGGGAAUCGGGUGCAAAUCCCGGACAGUCCCGCUGCUGUGAAGCUCAGUUCAAUGUCUUAUAAAUGAACUAAUUUGACGCCACUGAUGUUCUAUUGGGAAGGCUAAUAAGACAAGAGUCAGUCAGAAGACCUGCCACUUCACGU